This is a long non-coding RNA of Xiphophorus couchianus (Monterrey platyfish), 363 nucleotides long. RefSeq lists it as uncharacterized. The transcript has 4 exons. Lineage: Eukaryota; Metazoa; Chordata; Actinopteri; Cyprinodontiformes; Poeciliidae. The record is from RefSeq and is a predicted model, not a curated record.
CUCAGGUUUGCAACCAGCUUGUGACUGAGAAACCAGUAACCUGCUCCCAGUUGAUGACAUGAACUUGUUAGUUCCUCUGUCCAUUUAGUAGCUGAUUUAUUGUGAAAAUCAGCUAGAAAUGAUUCACUAAUCAGUCAUGUUACCUAGAAACAACCAGGCUUUGUUUGUGAGACUUGCGGUCAGGUGGGUCGUUGUGGGCGGAGCUUGGUAAGGUCCAUGGACCAAUGUCCGAUCACCUCACCCACAGAAAAACACACUUCCUCCACGCUGCACAGAGAACCAGCUCCCACCUUGAUGCCGUUCUUCCGUGUCAGCGUGGAGGAAGACCCACCACCAGCCACACCCAUCAUUGUUCCGUCAGAC